RNAcentral lists this ribosomal RNA (2157 nucleotides) under Rothia mucilaginosa. RNAcentral's name for it is "partial 23S ribosomal RNA". It matches the Rfam family "Bacterial large subunit ribosomal RNA", at positions 1 to 1996 of the family's 2925-position model. The record is from RNAcentral. Lineage: Bacteria; Bacillati; Actinomycetota; Actinomycetes; Micrococcales; Micrococcaceae.
GUGUUCGUUAUUAAGGGCGCAUGGUGGAUGCCUUGGCAUGCUGAGCCGAUGAAGGACGUGAAAGGCUGCGUUAAGCCUCGGGGAGUUGUCAAUUAAGCGUUGAUCCGAGGAUGUCCGAAUGGGGAAACCUGGCCCUGGUUAUGUGGGGUUACCCUUCAGUGAAUUCAUAGCUGUUGUGGGGGUUUACGCGGGGAAGUGAAACAUCUCAGUACCCGUAGGAGAAGAAAAUAAUAAUGAUUCUGCUAGUAGUGGCGAACGAACGUGGAUGAGGCUAAACCGUGUGCAUGUGAUACCUGGUAGGGGUUGUGUGUGCGGUGUUGUGGGCCCUGAUGUGCGGUGACUACCAUUGCCGCGCCCUCGCAUUGUUGUUAGGUGAAGUGGUUUGGAAUGGCCUGCCGGAGUAGGUGAGAGUCCUGUAGCUGAAGAUGAUGAUGUGUGGGUUGUUGGGUUGCCCGAGUAGCAGCGGGCUCGUGGAAUCUGCUGUGAAUCUGCCGGGACCACCCGGUAAGCCUAAAUACUCAGUGUGACCGAUAGUGUAUGAGUACCGUGAGGGAAUGGUGAAAAGUACCCCGGGAGGGGAGUGAAAUAGUUCCUGAAACCAUGUGCUUACAAUCCGUCAGAGCACCGUGUGUGUGUGAUGGCGUGCCUUUUGAAGAAUGAGCCUGCGAGUCAGCGGCAUGUCGCGAGGUUAACCCGUGUGGGGUAGCCGUAGGGAAACCGAAUCCUAAUGGGGUGUCAAGUGGCAUGUCCUGGACCCGAAGCGGGGUGAUCUACCCAUGGCCAGUGUGAAGCAGCUGUAAGAGGUUGUGGAGGCGCGAACCCACGUAGGUUGAAAACUGCGGGGAUGAGCUGUGGGUAGGGGUGAAAGGCCAAUCAAACUCCGUGAUAGCUGGUUCUCCCCGAAAUGCAUUUAGGUGCAGCGUCGUAUUAUAGCUUGGUGGAGGUAGAGCGACUGGUUGGUUGAGCGGGACUACAAUCUUAGCAAUGUCAGCCAAACUCCGAAUGCCACUAAUUGUGUUGUACGGCAGUGAGACUGUGGGGGAUAAGCUUCAUAGUCGAGAGGGAAACAGCCCAGAUCGCCGGUUAAGGCCCCUAAGGGUGUACUAAGUGGAAAAGGAUGUGGGAUCGCGAAGACAGCCAGGAGGUUGGCUUAGAAGCAGCCAUCCUUGAAAGAGUGCGUAAUAGCUCACUGGUCGAGUGGUUCUGCGCCGACAAUGUAGUGGGGCUCAAGUACACCGCCGAAGCCGCGGCAACAAUUUUUUUGUUGGGUAGGGGAGCGUCGUGCAUGGGUUGAAGCGUUACCGUAAGGAGGCGUGGACUGUGUGCGAGUGAGAAUGCAGGCAUGAGUAACGAAUUGAUAGGUGAGAAUCCUAUCCGCCGGAUGACUAAGGGUUCCUGGGUCAAGUUCGUCUUCCCAGGGUGAGUCGGGACCUAAGGCGAGGCCGACAGGCGUAGUCGAUGGAUAACCAGUUGAUAUUCUGGUACCCGUACAUGCGCGCCCAUGAUAAAGCACUGAUACUAACCACCGCGGAUGCAUUGCUGGUCUUCUUUGAAGUCUGGUGGUGUUGAUGUCGUGGGGCCUGAUGUGUGGUUCAAGUGAUGGGGUGACGCAGUGAGGUAGCCACGCCACUUAUUGGAUUGGUGGUGUAAGCGUGCAGACCGUGUGGUAGGUAAAUCCGCUGCACAUUUUGGUUGAGGCGUGAUGCGUAGACCCAUUGGGGUUGAUGGUGGUGAUCCUGUACUGUCGAGAAAAGCCUCUAGCGAUGUGUGUGUAUGGCCCGUACCCUAAACCGACACAGGUGGUCAGGUUGAAAAUACUAAGGCGUUCGGGUGAACUGUGGUUAAGGAAUUCGGCAAAAUGCCCCCGUAACUUCGGGAGAAGGGGGGCCCUACGAUGUGAGCAUCCUUGCGGUGUUAAGCGUUGUGGGGUCGCAGAGAAUAGAGGGAAGCGACUGUUUAUCAAAAACACAGGUCCAUGCGAAGACGUUAAGUUGAUGUAUAUGGACUGACGCCUGCCCGGUGCUGGAAGGUUAAGAGGACCGGUUAGUCAACGUUGUUGGCGAAGCUGAGAAUUUAAGCCCCAGUAAACGGCGGUGGUAACUAUAACCAUCCUAAGGUAGCGAAAUUCCUUGUCGGGUAAGUUCCGACCUGCACGAA